RNAcentral lists this ribosomal RNA (468 nucleotides) under uncultured bacterium. Its description in RNAcentral is "partial 16S ribosomal RNA". It matches the Rfam family "Bacterial small subunit ribosomal RNA", at positions 28 to 507 of the family's 1533-position model. The record is from RNAcentral.
GACGAACGCUGGCGGCGUGCUUAACACAUGCAAGUCGAACGGAAAGGCCCUGCUUUUGUGGGGUGCUCGAGUGGCGAACGGGUGAGUAACACGUGAGUAACCUGCCCUUGACUUUGGGAUAACUUCAGGAAACUGGGGCUAAUACCGGAUAGGAGCUCCUGCUGCAUGGUGGGGGUUGGAAAGUUUCGGCGGUUGGGGAUGGACUCGCGGCUUAUCAGCUUGUUGGUGGGGUAGUGGCUUACCAAGGCUUUGACGGAUAGCCGGCCUGAGAGGGUGACCGGCCAAAUUGGGACUGAGAUACGGCACAGACUACUACGGGAGGCAGCAGUGGGGAAUAUUGCACAAUGGGCGGAAGCCUGAUGCAGCAACGCCGCGUGCGGGAUGACGGCCUUCGGGUUGUAAACCGCUUUCGCCUGUGACGAAGCGUGAGUGACGGUAAUGGGUAAAGAAGCACCGGCUAACUACGUG